UGACGGAGCAAGACCGCGUGAGGGAGGAAGGCUCUUGGGUUGUAAACCUCUUUUCUCAGGGAAGAAGCUCUGACGGUACCUGAGGAAUCAGCCUCGGCUAACUCCGUGCCAGCAGCCGCGGUAAUACGGAGGAGGCAAGCGUUAUCCGGAAUUAUUGGGCGUAAAGCGUCCGCAGGUGGCGAUUCAAGUCUGCUGUCAAAGACAGUAGCUCAACUACUGCAAGGCAGUGGAAACUGAAUAGCUAGAGUGCGGUAGGGGCAGAGGGAAUUCCCGGUGUAGCGGUGAAAUGCGUAGAGAUCGGGAAGAACACCGGUGGCGAAAGCGCUCUGCUGGGCCGCAACUGACACUGAGGGACGAAAGCUAGGGGAGCGAAUGGGAUUAGAUACCCCAGUAGUC
This 396-nucleotide ribosomal RNA is filed under the name uncultured cyanobacterium. Its description in RNAcentral is "bacterial SSU rRNA". It matches the Rfam family "Bacterial small subunit ribosomal RNA", at positions 384 to 795 of the family's 1533-position model. Lineage: Bacteria; Bacillati; Cyanobacteriota. The record is from RNAcentral.